AAUUAUAAAAAUAUCUCAAAUAUCUGCAUUCACGAAUUAGGUUGAGCUAAUUGUAUUUAUAUGUUAGUGUAUGUUUUGAGUGUAGCAAUAUUCAACUACCAUAUAUAAUUAGGGAUGAAAUAUCAUACAAGUACUAGGAUUUCUUGAAGUAUAUGAAAAGUAUGUAGUACAAAAACAGACAUGAAGUGAUUAGGCUUGAUGUGGGCAUUAUUUUAAUAGUUUAUUCAAUUAAAAUAUAUAACUAUAAUUAUUUAAUUUUUAAAAACAUUUAAUUUUAAUAUAAAUAUGUCAAAUAAUAUACUAUAAUAUAAUAUUGUACAUUUUAUAUAUAAUGUAAUUAUUAGUAACCAAAUAGGUUUACUUUAGGAAUUCGGCAAAUAUUUUUUCAACUGUUUACCAAAAACAUGCCUUAUGUAAAUAUAUAAGGUAUCACCUGCUCAAUGAAUUCUUAAAUAGCCGCAGUACCUUGACUGUGCAAAGGUAGCAUAAUAAUUUGGCUUAUAAUUGAAGUCUGGUAUGAAUGGGCCCCUGGAAAAAUACUGUCUUAAGUAGAUUUCUGAAAUUAAUUAAUAAGUGCAAAUGCUUAUAUAUAAAUAUUAGACGAGAAGACCCUAGAAAUUUUUUGAAUGUUAAUAUACACUAUAUUUUGUUGGGGCGACAAGGUAACAUUAAACUUACCUUAUAUACAUGAAUUUUUUAUAAGGUUAGAAUAAAUUACUCUAGGGAUAACAGCAUAAUAUAUUAAAGUUUGUGACCUCGAUGUUGGACUAGGAAAUACUACAUUUAGAAGAUGUAAUUAUUGGCUCUGUUCGAGCUAAAUUUCCCACAUGAUCUGAGUUCAGACCGG
Molecule: ribosomal RNA, 847 nt
Filed under: Pseudotrichia rubiginosa
Lineage: Eukaryota; Metazoa; Mollusca; Gastropoda; Stylommatophora; Hygromiidae
Description: partial 16S ribosomal RNA
Source: RNAcentral